Molecule: long non-coding RNA, 408 nt
Organism: Gambusia affinis (western mosquitofish)
Lineage: Eukaryota; Metazoa; Chordata; Actinopteri; Cyprinodontiformes; Poeciliidae
Exons: 5
Source: RefSeq, a predicted model, not a curated record
UUAAGUGAUCUUUUUGUGAGCAAUAUUGUGGGGAAUUAAGUGAAUGACUAAUUAAGUGAUUUACAGAGGGAGCUGGUAGGGGUUUUAUGUCAUUAUUGUUCUAAACAGUUUUCCUCCUGUUUUGUGGAUAGACAGAGAGUUCAGGCUAGACUCCAUCAAAGAUGAACUCAGCAUUUUAAAUCAUCCUCUGAUCGAGUAGCUUCGGUCUGGUUCCCACCAUCAGACGAAGAUUUGUGGUCUUCUAUCAGCCCAGCACCUUCUGAGGUCAAAGAGUAAAGCCAUCUGAACACAGCUGGAGACCAGAUAUCUGGAGAGGCAGUGGGCGAAAAAGUGAGCCUGUGAGGGAAUUGGACCAAGAUGGAGGCUGAUUUACAGGAACAAAGAAUCCAGGCCAAGACUGGAUGCAGC